UACGGGGGGAGCAAGCGUUGUUCGGAUUUACUGGGCGUAAAGGGCGCGUAGGCGGUCGUGACAAGUCACUUGUGAAAUCUCCGGGCUUAACUCGGAACGGUCAAGUGAUACUGUCGGACUAGAGUACAGAAGGGGCAACUGGAAUUCUCGGUGUGGCGGUGAAAUGCGUAGAUAUCGAGAGGAACACCUGCGGCGAAGGCGGGUUGCUGGGCUGACACUGACGCUGAAGCGCGAAAGCUAGGGGAGCGAACGGG
Molecule: ribosomal RNA, 254 nt
Filed under: uncultured bacterium
Lineage: Bacteria
Description: partial 16S ribosomal RNA
Rfam family: Bacterial small subunit ribosomal RNA
Source: RNAcentral